This 487-nucleotide ribosomal RNA is filed under the name uncultured bacterium. Its description in RNAcentral is "bacterial SSU rRNA". It matches the Rfam family "Bacterial small subunit ribosomal RNA", at positions 28 to 517 of the family's 1533-position model. The record is from RNAcentral.
GAUGAACGCUAGCGGGAGGCCUAACACAUGCAAGCCGAGCGGUAGAGAUUCUUCGGAAUCUUGAGAGCGGCGUACGGGUGCGGAACACGUGUGCAACCUACCUUUAUCUGGAGGAUAGCCUUUCGAAAGGAAGAUUAAUACUCCAUAAUAUAUUGAUUGGCAUCAAUUGAUAUUGAAAGCUCCGGCGGAUAGAGAUGGGCACGCGCAAGAUUAGUUAGUUGGUGAGGUAACGGCUCACCAAGACGAUGAUCUUUAGGGGCCUGAGAGGGUGAUCCCCACACUGGUACCGAGACACGGACCAGACUCCUACGGGAGGCAGCAGUGAGGAAUAUUGGUCAAUGGGUGCAAGCCUGAACCAGCCAUCCCGCGUGAAGGACGACUGCCCUAUGGGUUGUAAACCCUCUUUUGUAUAGGGAUAAACCUACCUCGUGAGGGUAGCUGAAGGUACUAUACGAAUAAGCACCGGCUAACUCCGUGCCAGCAGCCG